This 1555-nucleotide long non-coding RNA is filed under the name Citrus x clementina. Its description in RNAcentral is "Citrus clementina (C. clementina) long non-coding RNA (CCLE_LNC006249)". The record is from RNAcentral. Lineage: Eukaryota; Viridiplantae; Streptophyta; Magnoliopsida; Sapindales; Rutaceae.
ACGGGUGGGCUAUAGCCUAUGUGGGGGGCGUGGGCGAAGUUCGUCCGCGGGACUCGGAAUGGCCCCAGACUUGGCGGGCGGCCUCCGUGUGCCAAAAAUAGGCCACGGGCACAGCCGCGCUCAAAAAUCAGCCCCCGAAGGUCGGGGUCCCAAGACCCCCCAGCGGAAAAAUGGCCAAAAAACGGGUGGGCUAUAGCCUUGGUGGGGGGAGUGGGCGAAGUUCGUCCGUCGGACUCGGAAUGGCCCCAGACUUGGCGGGCGGCCUCCGUGUGCCAAAAAUAGGCCACGGGCACAGCCGCGCCCAAAAAUAAGCCCCCGAAGGUCGGGGUCCCAAGACCCCCCAGCCGAAAAAUGGCCAAAAAACGGGUGGGAUAUAGCCUUGGUGGGGGGCGUGGGCGAAGUUCGUCCGCGGGACUCGGAAUAGCCCCAGACUUGGCGGGCGGCCUCCGUGUGCCAAAAAUAGGCCACGGGCACAGCCGCGCAAAAAAAUCAGCCCCCGAAGGUCGGGGUCCCAAGACCCCGCAGCGGAAAAAUGGCCAAAAAAUGGGUGGGCUAUAGCCUUGGUGGGGGGCGUGGGCGAAGUUCGUCCGCCGGACUCGGAAUGGCCCCAAACUUGGUGGGCGGCCUCCGUGUGCCAAAAAUAGGCCACGGGCACAGCCGCGCCCAAAAAUCAGCCCCCCAAGGUCGGGGUCCCAAGACCCCCCAGCGGAAAAAUGGCCAAAAAACGGGUGGGCUAUAGCCUAUGUGGGGGGCGUGGGCGAAGUUCGUCCGCGGGGCUCGGAAUGGCCCCAGAUGUGGCGGGCGGCCUCCGUGUGCCAAAAAUAGGCCACGGGCACAGCCGCGCCUAAAAAUAAGCCCCCGAAGGUCGGGGUCCCAAGACCCCCCAGCGGAAAAAUGGCCAAAAAACGGGUGGGCUAUAGCCUAUGUGGGGGGCGUGGGCGAAGUUCGUCCGCGGGACUCGGAAUGGCCCCAUACUUGGCGGGCGGCCUCCGUGUGCCAAAAAUAGGCCACGGGCACAGCCGCGCCCAAAAAUCAGCCGCCGAAGGUCGGGGUCCCAAGACCCCCCAGCGGAAAAAUGGCCAAAAAACGGGUGGGCUAUAGCCUUGGUGGGGGGAGUGGGCGAAGUUCGUCCGCCGGACUCGGAAUGGCCCCAGACUUGGCGGCCGGCCUCCGUGUGCCAAAAAUAGGCCACGGGCACAGUCGCGCCCAAAAAUCAGCCCCCGAAGGUCGGGGUCCCAAGACCCCCCAGCGGAAAAAUGGCCAAAAAACGGGUGGGCUAUAGCCUUGGUGGGGGGCGUGGGCGAAGUUCGUCCGCGGGACUCGGAAUGGCCCCAGACUUGGCGGACGGCCUCCGUGUGCCAAAAAUAGGCCACGGGCACAGCCGCGCCCAAAAAUAAGCCCCCGAAGGUCGGGGUCCCAAGACCCCCCAGCGGAAAAAUGGCCAAAAAACGGGUGGGCUAUAGCCUUGGUGGGGGGCGUGGGCGAAGUUCGUCCGCGGGACUCGAAAUGGCACCAGAUUUGGCGGCCGGCCUCCGUGUGCCAAAAAUAGGCCACG